This 253-nucleotide ribosomal RNA is filed under the name uncultured bacterium. Its description in RNAcentral is "partial 16S ribosomal RNA". It matches the Rfam family "Bacterial small subunit ribosomal RNA", at positions 524 to 776 of the family's 1533-position model. The record is from RNAcentral.
UACGGAGGAUGCAAGCGUUAUCCGGAAUGAUUGGGCGUAAAGCGUCCGCAGGUGGCUUUGUAAGUCUGCUGUUAAAGAGUGAGGCUCAACCUCAUAAGAGCAGUGGAAACUACAAGGCUAGAGUACGUUCGGGGCAGAGGGAAUUCCUGGUGUAGCGGUGAAAUGCGUAGAGAUCAGGAAGAACACCGGUGGCGAAAGCGCUCUGCUAGGCCGCAACUGACACUGAGGGACGAAAGCUAGGGGAGCGAAUGGG